GACGAACGCUGGCGGCGUGCCUAAUACAUGCAAGUCGAGCGAAAAGACGAGGAGCAUGCGCCCCUGACGUUAGAGGCGGACGGGAGAGUAACACGGGGAUAAACUAACUAUAAGAAUGGGAUACCUACAGGAAACCGGAGCUAAUAACGGAUGAUAUAUUGACCCGCAAGGUGCCAUCGUGAAAUAAGGUUUUGCUGUCACUAAUAGAUUGCUCCGCGCCUCAUGAGCUAGUUGGUAAGGUAACGGCUUACCAAGGCUAGGAUGCGUAGCCGACCUCAAGGGGUCGUCCGCUACAUUGGAACUGAGGCUCGUCCCAGACUCCUGCGCGAGGCAGCAGUAGGGAAUCUUCCGCGAGGCAGGAGAGCUGGACGUAGCAACGCCGCGGGAAGGAUGAUGGUCUUCUGAUCGGAAAGCGCUGUUAUUAGUGAAGAACAAAUGUGUAAGUAACUAUGCUCGUCUUGACGGUACCUAGUCAGAAAGCCACGGCUAACUACGUG
RNAcentral lists this ribosomal RNA (497 nucleotides) under uncultured bacterium. Its description in RNAcentral is "partial 16S ribosomal RNA". It matches the Rfam family "Bacterial small subunit ribosomal RNA", at positions 28 to 507 of the family's 1533-position model. The record is from RNAcentral.